GAAAUUACCUGGCAGGGGAGAUACCAUGAUCACAAAGGUGGUUUCCCAGGGCAAUGCUCAUCCAUUGCAUUCUGGAUGUGCUGACCACUGCAAAUUCCCCAAAUGUGAAAAAUUCGACUGCAUAAUUUGUGGUGGGGGGAACUGUGUUCGAGCUUUCCCUAG
Molecule: small nuclear RNA, 162 nt
Organism: Callithrix jacchus (white-tufted-ear marmoset)
Lineage: Eukaryota; Metazoa; Chordata; Mammalia; Primates; Cebidae
Gene: U1
Rfam family: U1 spliceosomal RNA
About the family: U1 is a small nuclear RNA (snRNA) component of the spliceosome (involved in pre-mRNA splicing).
Source: Ensembl